GACGAACGCUGGCGGCGUGCCUAAUACAUGCAAGUUGAGCGCUGAAGGUUGGUACUUGUACCAACUGGAUGAGCAGCGAACGGGUGAGUAACGCGUGGGGAAUCUGCCUUUGAGCGGGGGACAACAUUUGGAAACGAAUGCUAAUACCGCAUAAAAACUUUAAACACAAGUUUUAGGUUUGAAGGAUGCAAUUGCAUCACUCAAAGAUGAUCCCGCGUUGUAUUAGCUAGUUGGUGAGGUAAAGGCUCACCAAGGCGAUGAUACAUAGCCGACCUGAGAGGGUGAUCGGCCACAUUGGGACUGAGACACGGCCCAAACUCCUACGGGAGGCAGCAGUAGGGAAUCUUCGGCAAUGGACGAAAGUCUGACCGAGCAACGCCGCGUGAGUGAAGAAGGUUUUCGGAUCGUAAAACUCUGUUGGUAGAGAAGAACGUUGGUGAGAGUGGAAAGCUCAUCAAGUGACGGUAACUACCCAGAAAGGGACGGCUAACUACGUG
Molecule: ribosomal RNA, 497 nt
Filed under: uncultured bacterium
Lineage: Bacteria
Description: partial 16S ribosomal RNA
Rfam family: Bacterial small subunit ribosomal RNA
Source: RNAcentral